AUGAACAAGAGAGGAACAGGGAACAGUGACAUGGACAAGAAGCAUAGAGGCAAGGAAGAGAGGCUCACCCCAGGCCGCGGUCGAAGGAGAGCAGCCGCUGGCCACGCGCAGGAAGAGACGGCGGGAGGUGGCAGCGAGGUACCAUAUAACUGGAAUUACCGAUGCAAGUCAAAGAAGGAUUGGCCGGUGCUGCCGGCUGGCGUCAAGUUCCAUCCCACGGAUCAGGAGCUGAUCGAGCACCUUGAGGCCAAAGUGAGUGCUGACAGCGCGAGAUUUCAGUCUCUCAUCGAUUUGUUCAUACCAACCAUCGACAGCGAGCACGGCAUAUGCUACACCCAACCUGAGAAACUUCCAGCGCAAUUCCAGGGCGUUCAAAAGGGGCACGUGGACGCGUCGCAAUAUACAGUCGGAGUGCGGCAUGCACGCGAUGUGGCACAAGACCGGCAAUACCUUGCCGGUGAUGGUCAACGGCCGGCAAGAUGGGCAGCAAAAAAGGUUAUGGUGCUGCACACCAACAAGAAAUUCGACCAGCAGAGGACCAACUGGGUGAUGCACCAGUACCACCUCGUGGACCUGGGGCAAGAGAAGGAGCGGGAGCUGUUGUACUACCUUGUCGUCCGCAAGUUGGUAUUGUUGUUAACGAUCUUUUGGUAUGAACUUGCAUUUGCUUCCAACAUCAUGCCGAGGGUCGACGUGGAUAUAAAGCUGAAUCAUUUGUUUCGAAACGAAUUUUCAGGCACCUGA
This 744-nucleotide ribosomal RNA is filed under the name Triticum aestivum (bread wheat). RNAcentral describes it as "partial small subunit ribosomal RNA". The record is from RNAcentral. Lineage: Eukaryota; Viridiplantae; Streptophyta; Magnoliopsida; Poales; Poaceae.